RNAcentral lists this ribosomal RNA (458 nucleotides) under uncultured bacterium. Its description in RNAcentral is "partial 16S ribosomal RNA". It matches the Rfam family "Bacterial small subunit ribosomal RNA", at positions 338 to 795 of the family's 1533-position model. The record is from RNAcentral.
CCUACGGGUGGCAGCAGUGAGGAAUAUUGGUCAAUGGCCGGAAGGCUGAACCAGCCAUGCCGCGUGAAGGUCAGUGCCCUAUGGGCGUUAAACUUCUUUUGUGCGGGAGCAAUAAUGGUCACGUGUGGCCAGACGAGAGUACCGUACGAAUAAGCAUCGGCUAACUCCGUGCCAGCAGCCGCGGUAAUACGGGGGAUGCAAGCGUUAUCCGGAUUUAUUGGGUGUAAAGGGUGCGUAGAUGGCAUAGUAAGUCUUUUGUAAAAAUGCUGGGCUCAACCCAGUAGGGCAAAAGAUACUGCAAAGCUAGAGUAUGACAGAGGCAAGUGGAACUACAUGUGUAGCGGUAAAAUGCGUAAAUAUAUGUAAGAACACCAGUGGCGAAGGCGGCUUGCUGGGUCGAUACUGACAUUGAGGCACGAAAGCGUGGGGAGCAAACAGGAUUAGAUACCCGAGUAGUC